This is a non-coding RNA of Podarcis lilfordi (Lilford's wall lizard), 2902 nucleotides long. NCBI's taxonomy places the organism in Eukaryota, Metazoa, Chordata, Lepidosauria, Squamata, Lacertidae. The record is from the annotation of a GenBank genome assembly.
GGACAGGGUUAAAGUCAAUGAGUUCAAGAGAAGUAGAAGGGGGUGCUGGAUGUCAGCAGUUUCAUUCUCUCCCGUGCUGCAGAGUGUUUGUGGCUACUUUAUCACAUGCUCUGGGUGUUAACAUUCCAUUCUUUGGAAGCGAAGGAACAGAAGGAACAGUGCACCACUUCCGUCUUCUUUGUUCCGUUCUGUUGUUCUCUCUUGGAGGACUACCCCCCAUGCCGCUUUCAUUGGAAAAGGGGUGUGGUUUUAGUAGCCCAGUCGCCCCUCCCCUUCCCAUUGUGCUCUGCCCCUUUCCCUGCAAGGGUUCAGGUGAGUGCAAAAUGCCUUGGGGCGCAGCAAACUUGAGGGAUUGGGGGGAGGAUGCAAUGCCAGUGGGAUGAUGGAGGGGGAGACAGCAGGCAGGGAAGCUGCUGGGCAGGUGGGGGAGGGAGAAUGAAAGGAGGUGGGCGCGCAGCUGAGGGGGCCCCCCUCCCAUUUUGAGUAUUCCCAAUAGCAGUAUGGAUACUAUAAACACAUGCAGAAAGACAAACGUUUCCUAAAUUUCAGCUGAGUUUCCUGCAUUCCAGAACAACGUAUAUAUAUUUUUAUUAGGUUUACUUGGGUUUGGUGCUUUCUCUCUGCAUGUCAUUCCUUGAAAAGCUUCCUGCGCAAAGAUAAGGCUUGCUUUCAUUGCUCUGUUCAUUUGUGCAUUUGACUAGUGUUGUGUGGAGGGAAAUGUAAACACUGGGCUGAAAAAUGUCCCCCUCCUGCCCUCCUGUGUUUCAAAUUCUAGAAUAAGAAACUGCCUCUUUCCCCUCAGCUGCUGUGUCUUGUCUGUGGCAUCACAGGAGACCAUACAUAGACAGGGCUGAGGAAACUAGGCCUCAAGGGGGAGGGCAUUUGUUAAUAAAGAAAUGAUGACAGAGUACCCCCCUCCCUUGUGACGCGUGUGGCAUGUGGACUCCAUGGCACCCUCAGAAGCCCUCCUUAGCACCCACCAAGGCCCCCUGACCCUCCCAUUUAAAAAAAGUUUUCCAUAAUCUGUUAGUUUGUACAGUGCUGCAAGACUGUUUGUUUCGACAGUUGAGGGAUUGGUAUUAUUUAUUUAUUUUGCCCUCUGUGAGAGAUAACUAACUGGUUCCUUUGACUUAAGGUCUCUGGAUCCUUUUAAAUAAAGUGAUCUGGACAAAAUGAGUGAAUUAGGAAAUCUUUUUAUUAUUGGUUGUUUAGUCAUUUAGUCGUGUCCCAACUCUUCGUGACCCCAUGGACCAGAGCACGCCAGGCACUCCUGUCUUCCACUGCCUCCCGCAGUUUGGUCAAAUUCAUGCUGGUAGCUUCGAGAACACUGUCCAACCAUCUCGUCCUCUGUCGUCCCCUUCUCCUUGUGCCCUCAAUCUUUCCCAACAUCAGGGUCUUUUCCAGGGAGUCUUCUCUUCUCAUGAGGUGGCCAAAGUAUUGGCGUCUUAGCUUAAGGAUUUUGCAAAUGGGGUAAGCCAAGAUCAGGCACAUCUUCAUCAGGAAAAACACAUCUUAUAAAGUUGCUUGUCCAGCCACAAGUUGCUUCCACACCCACAAGAAGGGGCGUGCCAGUUUACAGAAGUAUUGUGUUCACCUCAUUGACAUUUUACUAUUCCAUUUCCCAUGUUAAUCCUAAUACAACACAACACAAAACAAUACAAUACAAUAACCUUUAUUGGCAUUUCAAGUUAAAGCAUUUCAAAAUGGCAUGAGAUAGAAAGUCUUUCUUCUUCCUGUUUCCUGUUUCUAAGAGAUUUGAAUGGGGAAAUCCUUUCGAUUCCUCUAUAAUAAGAGGUAGUGGGGUGAGGGAGGCCAGGGCCACAUCCACACCAUUUAACGCGCUAUGAAGCUGCUUUGAACACUCAUGGCUUCUUCCCCCAAAGAAUCUGGGAGCUAUAGUUGGAAAAGGGUGCGGAGAGUUGUUAGGAGACCCCCUGUUCCCUGCCAAUAAGGGAACCCUACCCCUACGCCUGAUGCUAACCUAAUGCUAACCCUUAAACCUUAACUAGAGCUACAAUUCCCAGAGUUCCCUGGCAAGAAGGGAACUCCACCCUAACCCUACCCCUGACGCUAUCCCUAACUCUAACCCUAACGUUAACUAGAGCUACAAUUCCCAGAGUUCCCUGCAAAGAAGGGAACCCUACUCCUAGCCCUGACACUAACCCUAACUCUAACCCUAACCCUGCUAACUCUAACCCUUAACCCUUAACUAGAGCUACAAUUCCCAGAGUUCCCUGACAAGAAGGGAACCCUUCCCCUACCCCUAACUCUACCCCAACCCUACCCCUACCCCUUACUCUAACCUUAAUCCUGUACCACCCUAGCAACUCUCCGUCCCCUUAACCACCUACAGUUCCCAGAAUCCCUGAGGGGAAGCCAUUCCUGUUCAAAGUGUCUUCAUAGCCCUUUCAGUGGACGGUGCACCUAAUGUGGCCUAAUGUUUCCUCCCUCAUUUUCUUCUCUCUCCCCACUGCCCCAUCACUUGCAAUGCAGCAGAUGUCCGCCUGCAGUCUCCCUUCAAAGCUUCUUCUCUCAGGUAUGGCCACGGCCUUGUCCAUUGCUCACUGCCAGUAUUUCACGUUCAUUUCUCUGAUGUAAAUAGGGAUGUCCUGCGGUUCUCUUCAUGACUUUGAAGGCUGGAUUUGGGGAAAACCUCACCGGCUCCGGACAUCCCUGUAAGGCAAAGGCAAACAGGUGAGUGGGAUGGCCCCCAUCCGACAGCGUCCCCCCAGACUCUUCCUGUUUGGCUGCCUGUGAACAAACAAGGCUUCCAAACCAGUUUGCAUCCAUCUCAGCCAGCGUAGCUUCGCGGCAUCCACUAGCCUGAAUGCAAUCUCUUCUGACAACCAUCCACCAGCUGCAGCCUCUCCAGGUCCAUUGCCAGACAUCAACCAGCUUGGAA